This 645-nucleotide long non-coding RNA is filed under the name Gallus gallus (chicken). RNAcentral's name for it is "lncRNA (ENSGALG00010025908.1)". Lineage: Eukaryota; Metazoa; Chordata; Aves; Galliformes; Phasianidae. The record is from RNAcentral.
GUCAGUGUCCCCAUAGCACUGUGACCCCAACUCCCGUCGGUGUCCCCGCAGCGCUGUGACCCCAAUUCCCCACUGUGACCCCAAUUCCCAUCGGUGUCCCCACAGCACUGUGACCCCAAUUCCCCGCUGUGACCCCAAUUCCCAUCAGUGUCCCCACAGCACUGUGACCCCAAUUCCCGUCAGUGACCCCAAUUCCCAUCAGUGUCCCCACAGCGCUGUGACCCCAAUUCCCGUCGGUGUCCCCGCAGCACUGUGACCCCAAUUCCCGUCAGUGUCCCCACAGCACUGUGACCCCAAUUCCCGUCAGUGACCCCAAUUCCCCGCUGUGUCCCCAAUUCCCCGCUGUGACCCCAAUUCCCAUCGGUGUCCCCACCGCACUGUGACCCCAAUUCCCAUCGGUGUUCCCGCAGCACUGUGACCCCAAUUCCCGUCAGUGUCCCCAUAGCACUGUGACCCCAAACUCUGGUGGUGUCCCCACAUUGCUGUGUCCCCAUCUCCCCACCGUGUGGCACUGUGUCUCUGUCACUCAGCUCUGGCAGUGUCCCCUCUGUGUCCCUCUGGCACUGCGUCCCUCCCACCCCAAAAUCUGACAGUGUCCCCAUGUGUCCCCGUGAUCCCAAACUCUCAGUGUCCCCUCUGUGUCCC